Molecule: non-coding RNA, 72 nt
Organism: Nippostrongylus brasiliensis
Lineage: Eukaryota; Metazoa; Nematoda; Chromadorea; Rhabditida; Heligmosomidae
Source: Rfam
AAAUCGGUAGCACAGUGGUUAUAGCAGUCUGCGGGAUACAGAAAGACGCGGGUUCGAUUCCCGUCCGAUGUC